RNAcentral lists this small RNA (99 nucleotides) under Escherichia coli. Its description in RNAcentral is "partial RtT sRNA". It matches the Rfam family "RtT RNA", at positions 1 to 97 of the family's 130-position model. Rfam says of the family: This family represents a bacterial cis-regulatory element known as RtT RNA. The exact function of RtT is unknown although it is thought that it may be involved in changing the cellular response in relation to amino acid starvation. The record is from RNAcentral. Lineage: Bacteria; Pseudomonadati; Pseudomonadota; Gammaproteobacteria; Enterobacterales; Enterobacteriaceae.
AUUCUGCCCAUGCGGGGAAGGAUGAGAAGCUUCGACUAAGGUUCGGCUCGAGCGUCAGCGAGAGAGCGUUGCCGCAGGCAACGACCCGAAGGGCGAAGC